RNAcentral lists this ribosomal RNA (483 nucleotides) under uncultured bacterium. Its description in RNAcentral is "partial 16S ribosomal RNA". It matches the Rfam family "Bacterial small subunit ribosomal RNA", at positions 29 to 507 of the family's 1533-position model. The record is from RNAcentral.
UUGAACGCUGGCGGCAUGCUUUACACAUGCAAGUCGAACGGCAGCGCGGGCUUCGGCCUGGCGGCGAGUGGCGAACGGGUGAGUAAUGCAUCGGAACGUGCCCAGUAGUGGGGGAUAGCCCGGCGAAAGCCGGAUUAAUACCGCAUACGACCUGAGGGUGAAAGCGGGGGACCGAAAGGCCUCGCGCUAUUGGAGCGGCCGAUGUCGGAUUAGCUAGUUGGUGGGGUAAAGGCUUACCAAGGCGACGAUCCGUAGCUGGUCUGAGAGGACGACCAGCCACACUGGGACUGAGACACGGCCCAGACUCCUACGGGAGGCAGCAGUGGGGAAUUUUGGACAAUGGGGGCAACCCUGAUCCAGCCAGGCCGCGUGCGGGAAGAAGGCCUUCGGGGUGUAAACCGCUUUUGUUCGGGAAGAAAUCCUCUGGGCUAAUACCCCGGGGGGAUGACGGUACCGGAAGAAUAAGCACCGGCUAACUACGUG